This 216-nucleotide ribosomal RNA is filed under the name uncultured bacterium. Its description in RNAcentral is "partial 16S ribosomal RNA". It matches the Rfam family "Bacterial small subunit ribosomal RNA", at positions 139 to 353 of the family's 1533-position model. The record is from RNAcentral.
GGGAGUAACAGUCAGAAAUGACUGCUAAUACCGCAUAAGCGCACAGUGCUGCAUGGCACAGUGUGAAAAACUCCGGUGGUAUGAGAUGGACCCGCGUCUGAUUAGCUAGUUGGUGGGGUAACGGCCUACCAAGGCGACGAUCAGUAGCCGGCCUGAGAGGAUGAACGGCCACAUUGGGACUGAGACACGGCCCAAACUCCUACGGGAGGCAGCAUG